UAGCUCAGUUGGUAGAGCAUGGUGUUUGCAACGCCAGGGGUGUGGGUUCGAGUCCCAC
This 58-nucleotide transfer RNA is filed under the name Salmo salar (Atlantic salmon). It matches the Rfam family "tRNA", at positions 8 to 63 of the family's 71-position model. Rfam says of the family: Transfer RNA (tRNA) molecules are approximately 80 nucleotides in length. Their secondary structure includes four short double-helical elements and three loops (D, anti-codon, and T loops). Lineage: Eukaryota; Metazoa; Chordata; Actinopteri; Salmoniformes; Salmonidae. The record is from Rfam by way of RNAcentral.